GACGAACGCUGGCGGCGUGCUUAACACAUGCAAGUCGAACGGAAAGGCCCUGCUUUUGUGGGGUGCUCGAGUGGCGAACGGGUGAGUAACACGUGAGUAACCUGCCCUUGACUUUGGGAUAACUUCAGGAAACUGGGGCUAAUACCGGAUAGGAGCUCCUGCUGCAUGGUGGGGGUUGGAAAGUUUCGGCGGUUGGGGAUGGACUCGCGGCUUAUCAGCUUGUUGGUGGGGUAGUGGCUUACCAAGGCUUUGACGGGUAGCCGGCCUGAGAGGGUGACCGGCCACAGUGGGACUGAGAUACGGCCCAGACUCCUACGGGAGGCAGCAGUGGGGAAUAUUGCACAAUGGGCGGAAGCCGUAUAGAGCAACGCCGCGUGCGGGAUGACGGCCUUCGGGUUGUAAACCGCUUUCGCCUGUGACGAAGCGUGAGUGACGGUAAUGGGUAAAGAAGCACCGGCUAACUACGUG
RNAcentral lists this ribosomal RNA (468 nucleotides) under uncultured bacterium. RNAcentral's name for it is "partial 16S ribosomal RNA". It matches the Rfam family "Bacterial small subunit ribosomal RNA", at positions 28 to 507 of the family's 1533-position model. The record is from RNAcentral.